This 253-nucleotide ribosomal RNA is filed under the name uncultured bacterium. RNAcentral describes it as "partial 16S ribosomal RNA". It matches the Rfam family "Archaeal small subunit ribosomal RNA", at positions 474 to 727 of the family's 1478-position model. The record is from RNAcentral.
UACCAGCACCCCGAGUGGUCGGGACGUUUAUUGGGCCUAAAGCAUCCGUAGCCGGUUCUACAAGUCUUCCGUUAAAUCCAACUGCUUAACAGAUGGGCUGCGGAAGAUACUAUGGAGCUAGGAGGCGGGAGAGGCAAGCGGUACUCGAUGGGUAGGGGUAAAAUCCGUUGAUCCAUUGAAGACCACCAGUGGCGAAGGCGGCUUGCCAGAACGCGCUCGACGGUGAGGGAUGAAAGCUGGGGGAGCAAACCGG